UCCGUCGACUUUAAAAAUCG
This 20-nucleotide transfer RNA is filed under the name Philcoxia goiasensis. RNAcentral's name for it is "partial tRNA-Leu". RNAcentral also lists the same sequence under 1 other name. Lineage: Eukaryota; Viridiplantae; Streptophyta; Magnoliopsida; Lamiales; Plantaginaceae. The record is from RNAcentral.